AGAGUUUGAUCAUGGCUCAGAUUGAACGCUGGCGGCAGGCCUAACACAUGCAAGUCGAACGGUAACAGGAAGAAGCUUGCUUCUUUGCUGACGAGUGGCGGACGGGUGAGUAAUGUCUGGGAAACUGCCUGAUGGAGGGGGAUAACUACUGGAAACGGUAGCUAAUACCGCAUAACGUCGCAAGACCAAAGAGGGGGACCUUCGGGCCUCUUGCCAUCGGAUGUGCCCAGAUGGGAUUAGCUAGUAGGUGGGGUAACGGCUCACCUAGGCGACGAUCCCUAGCUGGUCUGAGAGGAUGACCAGCCACACUGGAACUGAGACACGGUCCAGACUCCUACGGGAGGCAGCAGUGGGGAAUAUUGCACAAUGGGCGCAAGCCUGAUGCAGCCAUGCCGCGUGUAUGAAGAAGGCCUUCGGGUUGUAGAGUACUUUCAGCGGGGAGGAAGGGAGUAAAGUUAAUACCUUUGCUCAUUGACGUUACCCGCAGAAGAAGCACCGGCUAACUCCGUGCCAGCAGCCGCGGUAAUACGGAGGUGCAAGCGUUAAUCGGAAUUACUGGGCGUAAAGCGCACGCAGGCGGUUUGUUAAGUCAGAUGUGAAAUCCCCGGGCUCAACCUGGGAACUGCAUCUGAUACUGGCAAGCUUGAGUCUCGUAGAGGGGGGUAGAAUUCCAGGUGUAGCGGUGAAAUGCGUAGAGAUCUGGAGGAAUACCGGUGGCGAAGGCGGCCCCCUGGACGAAGACUGACGCUCAGGUGCGAAAGCGUGGGGAGCAAACAGGAUUAGAUACCCUGGUAGUCCACGCCGUAAACGAUGUCGACUUGGAGGUUGUGCCCUUGAGGCGUGGCUUCCGGAGCUAACGCGUUAAGUCGACCGCCUGGGGAGUACGGCCGCAAGGUUAAAACUCAAAUGAAUUGACGGGGGCCCGCACAAGCGGUGGAGCAUGUGGUUUAAUUCGAUGCAACGCGAAGAACCUUACCUGGUCUUGACAUCCACGGAAGUUUUCAGAGAUGAGAAUGUGCCUUCGGGAACCGUGAGACAGGUGCUGCAUGGCUGUCGUCAGCUCGUGUUGUGAAAUGUUGGGUUAAGUCCCGCAACGAGCGCAACCCUUAUCCUUUGUUGCCAGCGGUCCGGCCGGGAACUCAAAGGAGACUGCCAGUGAUAAACUGGAGGAAGGUGGGGAUGACGUCAAGUCAUCAUGGCCCUUACGACCAGGGCUACACACGUGCUACAAUGGCGCAUACAAAGAGAAGCGACCUCGCGAGAGCAAGCGGACCUCAUAAAGUGCGUCGUAGUCCGGAUUGGAGUCUGCAACUCGACUCCAUGAAGUCGGAAUCGCUAGUAAUCGUGGAUCAGAAUGCCACGGUGAAUACGUUCCCGGGCCUUGUACACACCGCCCGUCACACCAUGGGAGUGGGUUGCAAAAGAAGUAGGUAGCUUAACCUUCGGGAGGGCGCUUACCACUUUGUGAUUCAUGACUGGGGUGAAGUCGUAACAAGGUAACCGUAGGGGAACCUGCGGUUG
This 1521-nucleotide ribosomal RNA is filed under the name metagenome. Its description in RNAcentral is "bacterial SSU rRNA". It matches the Rfam family "Bacterial small subunit ribosomal RNA". The record is from RNAcentral.